This 6308-nucleotide long non-coding RNA is filed under the name Triticum aestivum (bread wheat). RNAcentral describes it as "long non-coding RNA (TAES_LNC008368)". Lineage: Eukaryota; Viridiplantae; Streptophyta; Magnoliopsida; Poales; Poaceae. The record is from RNAcentral.
AAAAAAUAGUACCGAUCGAGUCCACAUUCCAUCCAAAUCUUUAGCAUGCCUGUUACAAUAAAUUUCUUACAACACAAAUACUGCCACUACAACAGUCCUUACAGAACCAUGAAAAUCUUGCUUUCUACAAUACUUACAAAAUACUCUUUACAACUAACCAAGCCAUGAAAAAAAUUUGCUAAAGUCACUCAGCAACUUCCUGUUACAGUGUUUUCUUCUAAUUAACUCCUGCAACAAACCAUCUCAAGUUUCUAAUCCAAAUCCAUCAACCGAUAUACAUAACUUGCAAGUCUUCAAUUCCCCAAGCCACCUUGGAGACACAUCAGCCAAACCAACUGUCAUCCUCCUGCCACAACAUCCUUGUCAUGAGAAACUCAAUUAUUCAAAAGGCUCUUUGGGCAGAGUAACCAUUGACAUCAUAAAAUAGGGAAGACAGGAUCUAGUAGGAAUCAAUUUACCACCAUAGUCUAGAAAAUUUCCUUGCUGGAUUCCCAUCUUAUUCUCAGCUUUAUUCCAGUCACUAACUCACUAUUCCUCAAUUUAACAGUACGCACAGGAAUCCCUAAAUAUUUAAAGAGGCAAUGAACCAAUAUUCUAGGUCAAAAUCUCCUUAUAUCUUUCUAGAUCAUUCCCAGCUGCCAAAGCAACAAAUAUCACUCUUACGGAAACUAUUUUAUAAACCAAUUAAAUGUUCAAACAGAAUCAGAAUUGAUUUUAGAUUUCUAGCAUUUUUUUCUCCAGCCUCAGUUAAAUCAUCGCUAGACCUACUACUGAAUUAGGCACUGCCCCUUUAAUCUCUCCUUGAGAAAUAGCUCUACAAGUUCUUGCAAGAAAUUAAUAGCAAUAUUGAAGAAAAUGGGGGACAGGGGGCCCCCUGUCUUAAACCUUUCUUAGUUUUAAAAAAGGACCCAACUGGUCAUUAACUCUAACAGAAAACGUUACCACUUUGAACAAUCUGUUCUAUCCAGCAAACAUAAUCAGAAGUAAACACUUUCAGAAAUAAAUAAAAAAUAGUAAGUUGGAGUCUUCGCCACAAACCAAAAAUAUGAUUAUUAACAGAAGUAAAAGCCAAAUUCCUACUUUUUUCUAAACUGAUUACUCCAACACAUAUCAAAUAUCGUAGAAUCGUAAAAGUUAUCUAAUAUUCAAAAGCAUAAUAAGCAAAAGUAAAGGUUAGUUGGAGUCUCGACUGAAAGGAACAUAUGCACUAAGAUUGUUCAUGAUUAAGCAAAUGCUAACAUGGCAUAGAAAAUCAAAAUGUAUAGGUAUAGGAUAUCGUGCACAUAAUUAGUUGUCUUUCUACAUUUUGCAUCUCAAAGAGGAAUGAAUUGUAACACACUAAAAUGAAGGUCGGGCAUUAUGACAAACUCAUCCAUAUGGUACUGUCAAAAAAAGUCCAUAUGGUUAUUGACAAAUCUAUUUUUAUGCAAAUAACCUUAACCUUCAUGCUAUACAAUUUAACCAACUUGGGACUACUGUUGUAAGCACCGACUCUCCAAAUUAUAAAUGCAUUCACUAAUACUACAAGAAUCUUUGGCACUCAAACAUAACCAGCGGCUCUCUGCGAAAAAACAAUCAUGGAGUUCUUGAGAAUACUUUGCGCAAAUUUAUGCCACAACAAUUUGUUGUUGCUCUUUGACAGUAACAGCAGCACAUAUGAUUACUCAACCAAAAAAUACAGCAGCAUAUAUGAUGUAGUGUUCAUUGUCCACCUUUUUCCUGCUAGGGUACAUUGACUGAUCUAUUUUUUAAAUUCCUGAUUCAUAUUUAGGAUGUGCUGCUUUUGGAUAUUAGUGGCCCCCCUAAAGUGGUACAGGCUAACUACAAGAAGUAUGUCCAAUCAGCGAGAUGGUGGAACUAUAAGAAAGGCAUCCGAGUGGAUGUGACUCGACUCUUCCGCAGAAAAAAACACGUCUUCACCACUCCGGAGAAGGGCACGUGUUGCACAGUGGUCAAGUAUAAAAAAGAUACAAUCACAUUUAUUAAGCAAGGUAGAUACUGGUGGGUUAAAGCCUACUGCAUUGAUGGUAAGGUGCAUGAGCUGAAACCGGAAGGUGACCAGAAGAACUACAUAGAGUGCUCGGACCACACAGUCCUUUCCUUUGGAGGUAACCACCAUGAUAUAUGCAAUGAUGACCCUGGAGGGUCGCUUACAGGUUUGGGUUACCUAAGAAAGGCAUUCACCUCCGUAAUCGAGGGUGGGAAGCGCAUAGACCCCAAGUUCGUAGGUCUUUUUGUUGUUUAUCUGGGUGAAGGUCCAAGGUUUGAGAUAGUUUUUCAAGCACUGUACAUGAACAUUCCCAGCCCAAAUUCUAUGCGCCUCGACUAUUUUAUUCCAUGGAUGAAUGAGCUUGUGCGUAACUGGAAUAAGCUGAGCAAAUAUGCCAUGAAGUACAUGCACUGUCUUCGCGAAGGAUUGGAGCUCCCAGAGUUAGACCAAGGCAUUGCUUUUCCAGGGAUGGACUCUAUUGAGAAAGUUCUUCAGUUGGUGAAGAUUCUACAGUUAGAUGCUUACAAUGCUGGUAUUUUCAGUCAUGAAAAAGCGCAACAGCCAGAUGUAUGGCGUGCACGUGAUGAGUCAUUUGCUAGAAAGGAAAAGGAUACACACUGCAAAAAGAAACAUGGAAAAGGUGCACCUCCUCCUGAGGAUUCUUUUGUACCUAUGGAUGACGGUCUGUUUCAUAUGUUGAAUGUCAAUGGGAAGGUGGAAAGUUUAUUUACAGAGCAGCCCCCUGGUCCUGAACUGAAACUGGGUCAAGGGCAUGGGCGGUUUUCAAAUAAAGCAAAAGUUAGUUCUCCAAGCUGCUACGCUAGAAGGAAGAUGAGCACCCAAGGAUGGGACAACGAGGUGUGUGUAAAAUGUUAAACAGCACUCAGAGCUAUAUCUUUUGCAUAUCCAUAUUGUAUAAUCUUCUCAAAACGUUUUAUUGCAGAUUCUUCAUCUGAAAAGGUCUAUUUUGGAUAUGCCAAUGGACAAACUGCUGCAUACCACCUUGGCGAGAAGACAAGUGCAAAUGCCCAUGAGGCUUCAUGUCAGCAUCAUAAAUACCUCAAAAAAAUGAAAAGUUCUUACAAAAACGACUACAUGGACAACCCAGAAGUGCUGUCCUUAUCGUUACCUCCCCAAAGACAAUAUAAAGGUUUGUAAAAAGUUGCUUUAGUUUGAAUGCUCUAUUAUUCACUUUAUAAUAUCUUUGCACCUCUUAUUGCAGGUUUUGGGUAUUGGAGGAACUGCAGAAUUUAUAGGUGAAAGAAUUGUACAAACCAGAAUGGUCAACAAAAGAAUGGCCAUGCUCGGGCCUUUGAUUCUCGGUAUGCACAUGGUGCAGACCUGCCCGCGGUGGCCAGGAACGUUUCCAGCUGCUAACAGCAAAGGACACAAUGUUUUGCAUCGGUUUAUUCUAAGCCCGCAGAGUCCUGCACAAGGUGAAGUUGGGAGGUAAUCUCUCUUAUUCCAAAAUUUUGACUCUACACUGAAAUAAGCACCAAGGUGGACAAAGUGGCCAGUGUCUUCUCCAUAUUCUCUUGCCUGAUUAAUGGCUACACACUGAUGUGUUUCUUCAAGCAAUGCCAUAAAUUUCUGUUUAGAUGUUGGCAAGUUUGUGUUAUUUAUUGUUUUGUAAAAAUGGUUGUAGAUAUCAACCCUAGGUUUUCUGUGUUCCCAGGAACAGAUUCAGACUUUUAAAAUAUGAGCUAUGCAACACUCCUCCAAUUUAUGAUGUUCUACUGCUCUGCCUUGCACUGUGACUCGGAUUUGUAGUGCUACAUGCCUACAUCAUAAAGUCUAGUUGGCCAUAAGUCUCUGUUUAGAUGCUGGCAAGUUUGCCUUAUUUUUCGUUAUGUAAAAAUGGUUGUAGAUAUCAACCAUAGGUUUUCUGUUUAUUCUAGUUCCCAGGAACAGAUUCAGACUUUUAAAAUAUGAGCCAUGCAACACUCCUCCAAUUUAUGAUGUUAUACUGCUCUGCCUUCCUCUGUGACUCAGAUUUUUAAUUGCUCUUGCUCAGCCUUGGAUUUUGCUCUGCUCAAUGCUCGCACGGUCACACCUCAUGCUAGCUACUAAUAAUAAUUUCUGCAGGUUAUGGCUGAGCUGCAAGGAGAAGCUGCAGAAUAUGGCUUCUGGCAAGAUUUGCAGCACAAGGAUAUAAUCGAAUGCAAGUUGUGCAAGAAAAUGCCCCAAGGAAACUGUGGAAAUCAGGAAAGAGAUGCUCGAGUUACUGAACCGCAAUUCAAGAAAGAAAAUGCCCCAAGGAAACUGUGAAUAUAUUGACUAUUGCCAGUAUAGAUUAUCUGGACCAUGUACUUCUGGUGACACUGUUACUCUCGACGUAAAUUUCUGUUCCAGAACAGCGUGCAAAUGCUAAAGACCAACUUGAUGAUUUGCUUGGUUUUAUGCAGAGGGGAUGCUGGGAGAGUUUUGUUUUCAUUUCUCUGGUCAGAGUUUAUGUGGUUAGAUAAUUAGUGAAGACUAUUUUGACAUUUCCAAGCGAGAUUUACAUAUUGGGUGAAACAUAAGAAAUUUAUCCUAAAUGAUAAUAAGAUUACAGAACCAGAAGGAAUUCAAAUGAAAAGUGGCAUCUGAACCAUAAGGUAUGUAAAUUAUACCAGACUAAAUUGCAGUUGCAUGCAUAAAAUCUGCAUUAAUUAGUAAACCAUGCAAGUUAAAUUCAGAACAUACCAUCUGAAAUCGAGUGCCUGUAGUUAGAUACAUCGUUUGUUGAUUGCCUUGGCCUCCAAAUUUCUAGUAUUAGAAACAAAAUUAAAUAAGUAAUAGCUGUAUUACAAAAUGUUCACGUUGAAUCAGCCUAGUGGAAUUGGAGCAUAUGAUGUCAUUAACAUUCUAGAUGACUUUGCUAAAAAAAAUCAUUUUGCAAGGAUUUGAAUAAACCCAUGAGGGGCUGCCAGCUUUGUUCCUCGGGUGAGGAUCGAAAUGCACCGUAUAACUAAGACAAACACCAUUUUAACUUAUAGUAGCCUUAUACCAUAAUUAUCAUAGCAUGCAAACUUGGUAGAGAACAUAAAAAUUAUAAACAGUAAACCAUUCAUGCUACCACCAAAACCAUGAUAAAUUCCGAAAGAAGAUCAUGUCAAACAUAAGGAGGCAAAGCAUCAAAGAGGGAAAUAGGGAAGAACUCACCAGUGCAGAGUCAACGAGACAAUUACAUCCCGCUUACGUGCAGCGGCGUCAGGGGUAGAACUGCGGCCAUCCCCGAAGUGAAGAAAAGAAGAGGAUAUUGCCGCAGCAUUUAGUGACACUGAUGGGUGGCCUCACUAGUAACAGCUGCAGUGGCCACAAAGUGGGGCGGUCUUCUUUAGAACACCAUACUAAACCACUAAUGCAUACAGACCCUUGCCCGCAGCAUGGGAGGUGGCUCUGUAAGAGAAUCAACAAUAUGGCAAGAAGAAGGGUUAUCAAUUGUAAGAUUGACAUGUGUCCUAAUUGCUCACAAUUUAAUCUGUGCGAGAAUCAACAAUAUGACGGGCGACUUGAUCUUAUUGUGACAGAGGAGUACGCAUCUCUAGAUUCUUAUCACCAUGUCUCAGUUCUAAAGAAGCAAUAGGGUCAGAGUAACCAUUUACUUGCAAUUUCCAUGUCAUUCUUUGUAAAUGUUAUACUACAUGGCACAUGCCCAUGUCAAAAGGGGAAAUCAUAUAUUCAUAUGCAACUCAAUGAUCAUAUGGUACAAAACCUGCAUCCUGUAAAAGAAUCCCCAGCCUAAUCAAAGAUGGCAAUUGAACACCCCAUGGUUGUAUUUCAUGCCAUGCAAGAAUUUCUCUGCAAGUAAUUCAUAUCAAUAGAACAAUCUGAGUGGGCACGGAAAUGCAUACAUUACAAUGGGAAAAGCUGAAGCUGAGUCAUCCAAGUAUGGAGCAGAUUGAACACCCUCAGAAACAGUCAACUACAGCUCACGCUUCCACUUCGCAUCAGUCAGUCUGCAUUUGAUGGACCUGGAGGUUUCUCCCUGGGAUGCUUUGAUCCAUAGUGAUCUAUCAACUGCCUCUCGUUAGCCUGUUGUGCCUGCACACAUAGAAGAUGUUACAUUAGGUUGACACUGCAUCAAUCAUGAGGAACAUGUAUCCAUGUAAAGCUAACUAUACACUAGUAUAUACGGUUAUGCUUGCACACAGUUUUCAACUUGAUUCACAUCAACAUGAACCCAAGCAAAAUAUUCCACGAAUUUCUUCAUGAAAUCCAGACCAUGUGACCAUGUCUAAAAAAGAAAUCAUAUGUAACUCAGCAAGCAUAUGCCAGCACAGUUGCAUCCUAACAAUGAUCAUAUGGUACAUAAAAACAGAAGCCCAGAGCCGAG